GAGGUGGAGGUGGGUGGAUAAUGAGUUCAAGAGAUUGAGACAAUCCUGGCCAACAUGGUGAAACCCCCUCUCUACUAAAAAUACAAAAAUUAUCUGGGCAUGGUGGCACACAACUGUAGCCUCAGCUACUCAGGAGGAUGGGGCAGGAGAAUUGCUUCAACCUGGGAGGCAGAAGUUGCAGUGAGCAGAGAUUACACCACUGCCCUCCAGCCUGGUGACAAAGCAAGACUCUGUCUAAAAAAAGAAAAAAACAACAAAGAAAGAAACUUCGAGGGAGUUCAUUCACCCCCUUCCACCAGGCGAGGAUACAGGGUUAAGGUGCUAACUGUGAACAAGGAAGCAGACACCUACCAUACACUGCCAUACACUGAAUCUGAUGACGCUUUGAACUCGGACUUCCCAGCCUCCAGAAUUGUGAGGAAGAAAUUUCUGUUGUUGUCAAGCUGCCCAGUCUAUGGCAUUUUGUAACAGAAGCCUGAGCAGAUGGAGACAUCCUCCCUCUAGAUCUACUUCUUCUGCAGUCUUUCCCAUCUCGGCACAAGCAGGUCCAGCCUUCCAGGUGCUCAGGAUCUACACCUGGGUGUCUUCUUUCUCAUAUUCCUUCCUUUCUCUCAUACACCACAUCCAGUCCAUCUGGAAAUUGUGUAGGCUCCAUCUUCAGAAUAUAUCCCGAGUCCAGUGACUUCUCACCACCUCCACUGCUCCCAUUCUGGGCCAAGCUACUAUCAUCUCUCACCUGGUUUUUGCAGCAACCCCUCUCUAGUCUCUCACCUCCUGUCCUCCACCCAUCACCCCCAUCCUGACCUCUUUGCCUUGUCAGAGCAUUCUGUGUGAUAUAUUUAUACACAAAACAGACUUGUGAUUCCUCUGCUCAAAAUGUUCCACUGAGUUCACAUCUCAACCUGAAGGAAAGGUGAUAGGGGAGAGGAAGAGAGGAAUGGGCAACAGUUUGGAGAACCAGCUCCUAUGCCAACUUCAUCCCUGGCUUUGGAAAAGUGGGCAUCCGUCUUCAUCACCCAUUUUCCUCUUGAUAUGGUUUGGCUCUGUGUCCCCAUCCAAAUCUCAUUUUGAGUUGUAAUCCCCACAUGUCAAGGGAGGGCGCUGGUAGGAGGUGAUCGGAUCAUGGGGGCUGUUUCCCCCAUGCUGUUCUUGUGAUAGUAAGUGAGUGCUUAUGAGAUCUGAUGGUUUAAAAAUAUGACACCUCCCCCUUCUCUCUCUCUCUCUCUCUCUCUCCUGCCUUCAUAUAAGGUGUGCCUUGCUUUCCCAUCACCUUCCACCAGGAUUGUAAGUCUCCUGAGGCCUCCUCAGCCAUGUGGAAUUACAGGAGUCUACAGACGAGGGAAGCAAGAAGUCCAGUUAGGAGGCUGCUGGCAAACCAGGAGGAGGAGGAUAAGGCUUGACCCAAGAUGACAGUGGCAGAGACCAGGCGUCGCAUUCGGAUUCCAGAUGAACUGGAAGGAAGAACCAACAGGAGUCUCCGACACAUCGAAUCCAGCAUGAGAGAAGGAGGAGAAGCAAGAGUUGGAUGUUUCGCCAUGUUGCCCAAGCUGGCCUCAAAGUCCCAGCCUCAAGUGAUCCUUCUGCCUUGGCCUCCCAAAGUGCUGGGAUAACAGAUGUGAGUCGCCACACCCAGCCUGUCAUAAUACAAUUUUCAAGCCAACUUUUCCCUGGACCAGGGGAGCUGUUGAAGUCUAGACUCCUAGGAAAAUCCUGAUGUCCUGCUUAUAAACAGACAUUCUAUAUGAGCUGAGUUUUUUUUUUCAGAAAGGCUGCCUGCAGCUUUAAAUGGGCUCCCCAGCCUCGAAUUCUGGGAAGUUGGCAGCCAGCUACACUAGGAGUGAGUUAUGAUGUCAGUCUUUCAGAAUUCCUAAUGAACUCCAGAGCAAAAAAUGCUGUUACUCUGCCUCCCCCAAGCCACAUUUCUAGUUGAUUAAUGAGCAAAGGAAUAGAAAAAUCUAUGGCUUUGGAGAAGGAAGAAGAGUGAAAUAAUUUCUGCUUUAAGAAAUCACUGUGCCCCGAUUAUUUUAUUUGUUAAGAAAAGGGAUUUCAUUUUCUAUUUAUUUCCCCCUUUAAGUCUAGAUUCAGACCCCCCUUCCCCCUUCCCAGCCAUAAAAAGCAGGUUUGGCUCUCUCUAUACCCCCCUCCUCUACCUUCAUCCCUGCUUAUUUGAUCCAAGAUAGAAAAUCCAGCUCUGCCCUUUUGGGGGCAGUUGUCUUAGCUCCUUGAGGUCUGGUUAAAAUCCCAUUUAGCAUACAUGAAAUAAAUCUGCAACCCUCCAUUAAAAGUUAUGGCCUCCUUGCUGCAAAGACAUACACCCAGGCGAAAGCUGUGGUUGCUUAUGUUCAGCUCAGCCCUUUUGUAGCCCUGCCCUGGCAUGGGUUGUACAUCCUCCCACUGGCUGGAACAUCCAGGGCAGUUGAUUCUUCAGGGGAAAGUCUCUCUGCACAAUUACCCUGCUCCAUAUCCACACCUUCUGUGAGGCUGCUUAGGCUAAUUAAAAUUCAUGCUUCUUUGGAGAAAUGUCUAUUGAAGUCCUUAGCCAUUUUUUAAUUGGCUUAUCAGGGAUUAUUUUGCUAUAAAGUGGUAGGCGUUUCAUAUAUUUUGGAAAUUAACCCUUAUCAAACACAUAGUUUGCAAAUAUUUUCUCCCAUUCUGCAGGCUGCCUUUUUACUCUGCUGAUUGUUUCCUUUGCUGUGCAGAAGCUGUUUGCUUUGGCAUAGUCAUGUUGUCUAUUUUCGCUUUAGUUGCCCCCCCUUUUGAUGUUGUAUCCAUGACGUCACUGCCAAGACCAGUGUCAUGAAGCUUUCCCCCAUGCUUUCCACUAGGAGCGUUAUAGUUUUAGGUCUUACAUUUAAGUCUUUAAUCUAUUUUGAGGUGAUGUUUGUAAAUGGUGCAAGACAAUGAUAAGGGUCUAAUUUCAUUCUUUUAGGGUUUUCCAUAUAUAAGAUCAUGUCAUUUGCAAAAGGGAAAGUUCAACUUCCUCUUUUCCA
Long non-coding RNA from Callithrix jacchus (white-tufted-ear marmoset), 2990 nucleotides. RefSeq lists it as uncharacterized. The record is from RefSeq and is a predicted model, not a curated record. Lineage: Eukaryota; Metazoa; Chordata; Mammalia; Primates; Cebidae.